Molecule: ribosomal RNA, 1383 nt
Filed under: Gyrineum perca
Lineage: Eukaryota; Metazoa; Mollusca; Gastropoda; Littorinimorpha; Ranellidae
Description: Biplex perca 16S ribosomal RNA
Rfam family: Bacterial large subunit ribosomal RNA
Source: RNAcentral
AUAUAAAUAUAUAAGUAAAUUUCAUUUAUAUUAUUUAAUACAAUAAAAACAUUAUUAAAUUAAGUAAAAGUGAUUAAAAAUUAAUAUAUUAUUAUAAAUUUAAGUACUGAAGAGGAAAAUUGAUAAUAAUCUGCAAGAAAAAAUUAAGUUUUGUACCUUUUGCAUCAUGGUUUAGCUAGAUUUAUUUAUAGUUAUAAUUUCUCGAAACCUAAUGAGCUAUUUUUAAUUUUUGUUUUAGCAAAUAUAAGAUAGUUGUAGCAAAAACUUCUGAAUAAAUAAAAAUAGAAAUGAAAUUUUAUUCGGAUUAGGUGAUAGCUAGUUCUUUUUAAAAGGCAUAGAAGUGCUGCUUACUAAGUUUUUAGAAAAUAUAAUUUUUAAUUAACUCUUAGUAACGUUAAAUUUUUGAGGAUAAGCUCAAAAAUUAAAUAUAAAUAUAUGCAAUUAAUUUUAUAUUAAAUUUAAGCUUGAAAAUAGCUAUAAUUAUAAGAUUUUGUUAUAAUUUUAUAUUAAUCUUAUAAAUACAAUUAAUUUGCUUAUAAUAUAAAAAGGAGAAUUCAAUAACUUAAUAAUGAAUUAUAUUAAUGCUAAGAUGAGUAUUAACUUAAAUAGUUUAUUAACAUAGUUUAGGCCGUAUAAAACUAUUGAAUAUUAAAUACAUUUUUAAUUAAAUUAUAUGAAGGAACUCGGCAAAUACUUAUUCUGCCUGUUUAUCAAAAACAUGGCUCCUUGAAAAUUGUAUAUAGGGAGUCGGACCUGCCCAGUGAAUAAUUUUUUUAACGGCCGCGGUACUCUGACCGUGCAAAGGUAGCAUAAUCAUUUGCCCUAUAAUUGAGGGCUAGUAUGAAUGGUUUGACAAGAAUAAAGCUGUCUCCGUAUAAUUUUAUAGAAUUUUAUUUAUAGGUGAAGAAGCCUAUAUAUUAUUAAAAGACAAGAAGACCCUGUCGAGCUUUAAAAAAAUUAGUAAAUCAAUGAUCAUAUUUUAUAUAAGCAAUGUUUAUUAGAAAUUUUGGUUGGGGCGACUAAGGAACAAAUAAAGCUUCUUAAUACAUAUAAAUUACAUGCAAGUAAUGAUCCAGAACAUUUUGAUCAAAGGAAUUAGUUACCGCAGGGAUAACAGCAUUAUCUUUUUUAAGAGCUCAUAUCGAAAAAAAGGUUUGUGACCUCGAUGUUGGACCAGAGUAUCCUGAAGAUGCAGAAGUCUUCAAGGGUUGGUCUGUUCGACCAUUAAAAUUCUACGUGAUCUGAGUUCAGACCGGCGUGAGCCAGGUCAGUUUCUAUCUUUUAUUAAAAAUAAUAAGUUUAGUACGAAAGGACCAAUUUAUUGUAUCUAAAAGAUAUCAUUUAUGAUAACCUAUAAUAAAAAAAUUAAUAUAUAAACUGACA